GCGGGGGUGCCCGAGCCAGGUCAAAGGGGUCGGGCUGAGGACCCGAUGGCAUAGGCCUGCGUGGGUUCAAAUCCCACCCCCCGCACCA
RNAcentral lists this transfer RNA (88 nucleotides) under Ignisphaera aggregans. Its description in RNAcentral is "tRNA-Leu". It matches the Rfam family "tRNA". Rfam says of the family: Transfer RNA (tRNA) molecules are approximately 80 nucleotides in length. The record is from RNAcentral. Lineage: Archaea; Thermoproteati; Thermoproteota; Thermoprotei; Desulfurococcales; Desulfurococcaceae. RNAcentral also lists the same sequence under 1 other name.